ACAAACUCAACUCUCAGGAACUUUGUAGAUUAUUAAAGGAUGCUGGCAAUUUUCCUGUUCACUACCGUACUGGAAAAGGAGGGCUGCUGGAGGUUGAUAUGGACAAGCUUGCAAGAUACACACAAAGUCAUUAUAUCUUGAAUACGACGGCUUUUUCAAAAAAACAAAUAAAGCGAUGUGGUGCCUGGAUGCUAUCCUAGCAGUGUUUGUUUCAAAUAUUAUAGAAGG
Trifolium pratense (red clover) is the source of this 228-nucleotide long non-coding RNA. RefSeq lists it as uncharacterized. The record is from RefSeq and is a predicted model, not a curated record. Lineage: Eukaryota; Viridiplantae; Streptophyta; Magnoliopsida; Fabales; Fabaceae. The transcript has 3 exons.